Long non-coding RNA from Poecile atricapillus (Black-capped chickadee), 533 nucleotides. RefSeq lists it as uncharacterized. The transcript has 3 exons. The record is from RefSeq and is a predicted model, not a curated record. Lineage: Eukaryota; Metazoa; Chordata; Aves; Passeriformes; Paridae.
CCGCUUUUCACUGCAGUUUCAGACUCAACUGGAACCUGCAGCAGUCUUUCGACGUCUUUCUGAUUUUUUACGUUGGAGACUGAAAGAACCACCUUCCUGAGUAUUUAUCAGAAUGUCCCUUCAAUCUUAUGAAAGUGGAACUGAAAACCAAAGGAAAACAGCAGUUCAGAAUUAUUUUCUGGGCCAAGACAAAACCAGCCUGGAUUCUCUCACCCUUACUCACAGUGAACAGUAGGCUACUCUGUAAAUAUUUCUCAUUAUUUCAAUAUGAAUAAAGGUCACCCAAUCUGGUGCUUAGGGAUUACAUAAUAAUUUUUCUUCUGUAUUUCCUCAACAUUUUAGAAAAUAUGCACAACUCAGUCAUUCUUGUUUCACACUUGAGAAGCUGGUGCAGAGCUAGAUCAAAUGAGUUAUCCUAUACCCUUCCACAAGGCAAAGGAAGCCAAAAAUUGAACCUCAUUUAUUUUUCUGAAUGGAUUUCAAUAGAACAGGGUAGCACUCUGUUAAACUUCCUUUCUCUUUCUGCACCGUUU